CAAAGACAAUAAACUUGGCACCGCUCUUUCAAGCGAGCUCGUGAUGACCAUCUAUUAGAGCAGUUAUGCACCAAGUCUCAACACACAUUAUCGAAGCAUGAAUGAACGAUGGCUCUUUAAAAUAUCCAAUAUGUACACGUGAAAUAAUACAAAUAAACAAUUAAAAUGCGUCAAACUACGUUCAUAUGAAAUAAAAACAUGCCUUAUGUAAACACAUCACCACAGUGGCUUGUGGAUGCAGUCUGUAGGUGUGGUCUCCUCUCGGCGACUUGGCAUCUCGCCUCUCGGUGUGGCCGCGUGGGAGGCGAUGAUGUUAAAUCUCGAAGUCACAUGGCACCACACACAUCCUGAGGGAUGGCCAUCUAUUUUGGGGAAAAACAACCGUCAAGAUUUAAUUGUUUACCAGUCUAAUUUGGUUAGCGAGUAAUUCGCAAAUUUGUGAGACAGGAUCCAGCGUUCCAUUAGAAUUCAGUCAAAUGUGCAUCUACUACCCAACACCAGUUGUGGCUUUCUUGAAUCAAAUCUAGAACAAAAAGCUCCUGCGUCCUACCCCGUCUUAUGUUUGAUUUUGUUGCUGCUCUACAUGUGCCUUUCAUGAAACUCAUGAGAGCAAAAAAAUAUGUUAAGAUUUUCCAUCCUCAUCACAUAACGGGUAUACAUGGGAAACAGAUAAUCAAUUGGCUUACAGGUAGGAGGAAACAUGCCAUCAGGGUGGGUGGACGUUGGAGGAAUCAGGAAGAAAGGAGCCGAGGAGGGUAGCUGCAUAGAUCGAUGAACUUUACCCAUGGAUUUCGAAGCGCACCAUUGGUGC
Molecule: long non-coding RNA, 811 nt
Filed under: Hordeum vulgare
Lineage: Eukaryota; Viridiplantae; Streptophyta; Magnoliopsida; Poales; Poaceae
Description: long non-coding RNA (HVUL_LNC005786)
Source: RNAcentral